GAUGAACGCUGACAGAAUGCUUAACACAUGCAAGUCUACUUGAAUUUGGGUUUUUAACUUAGGUUUGGGUGGCGGACGGGUGAGUAACGCGUAAAGAACUUGCCUCACAGCUAGGGACAACAUUUAGAAAUGAAUGCUAAUACCUAAUAUUAUGAUAAUAGGGCAUCCUAUAAUUAUGAAAGCUAUAAGCGCUGUGAGAGAGCUUUGCGUCCCAUUAGCUAGUUGGAGAGGUAACGGCUCACCAAGGCGAUGAUGGGUAGCCGGCCUGAGAGGGUGAUCGGCCACAAGGGGACUGAGACACGGCCCUUACUCCUACGGGAGGCAGCAGUGGGGAAUAUUGGACAAUGGACCAAGAGUCUGAUCCAGCAAUUCUGUGUGCACGAUGAAGUUUUUCGGAAUGUAAAGUGCUUUCAGUUGGGAAGAAAGAAAUGACGGUACCAACAGAAGAAGUGACGGCUAAAUACGUGCCAGCAGCCGCGGUAAUACGUAUGUCACGAGCGUUAUCCGGAUUUAUUGGGCGUAAAGCGCGUCUAGGUGGUUAUGUAAGUCUGAUGUGAAAAUGCAGGGCUCAACUCUGUAUUGCGUUGGAAACUGUAUAACUAGAGUACUGGAGAGGUAAGCGGAACUACAAGUGUAGAGGUGAAAUUCGUAGAUAUUUGUAGGAAUGCCGAUGGGGAAGCCAGCUUACUGGACAGAUACUGACGCUGAAGCGCGAAAGCGUGGGUAGCAAACAGG
Molecule: ribosomal RNA, 735 nt
Filed under: uncultured Fusobacterium sp.
Lineage: Bacteria; Fusobacteriati; Fusobacteriota; Fusobacteriia; Fusobacteriales; Fusobacteriaceae
Description: bacterial SSU rRNA
Rfam family: Bacterial small subunit ribosomal RNA
Source: RNAcentral